GAAAAAAAUGACAAAUGGCGCCACAAUUACGCUUCUGAGUUUACAAAAAAGAGAAUCUCAUAGGCUUAGAGUUUUCCGUUUUGACCAGAAGUGGAAGCUUCUUGACCUAUUUUGUUUCAUCGAUUUCUACACGCUUAAACGGUACUUCGACCUUAAGCUUGACCCCACUCCGAAAAAAGGACAAAGAAACAAGGUCUUCCGGGUCAUUAACGGAUAGCUAUCCCCAGCCUCUAACUUUCUCUUGAAUUCUAACGGUAAGAUUACAGUUAGUGUUCCUCAUGUAAAAAUCUAUUAAAGAGAAAAAAUUACACCACAAAUAGCAAAUUUGA
Long non-coding RNA from Daphnia magna, 329 nucleotides. RefSeq lists it as uncharacterized. Lineage: Eukaryota; Metazoa; Arthropoda; Branchiopoda; Diplostraca; Daphniidae. The transcript has 2 exons. The record is from RefSeq and is a predicted model, not a curated record.